Long non-coding RNA from Pecten maximus, 383 nucleotides. RefSeq lists it as uncharacterized. The transcript is spliced from 2 exons. The record is from RefSeq and is a predicted model, not a curated record. Lineage: Eukaryota; Metazoa; Mollusca; Bivalvia; Pectinida; Pectinidae.
GGAGGUUUGUAUCGAUUUGAUGAGGGAGGGGGAGGAGGUUUGUAUCGAUUUGAUGAGGGAUGGGGAGGAGGUUUGUAUCGAUUUGAUGAGGGAUGGGGAGGAGGUUUGUAUCGAUUUGAUGAGGGAUGGGGAGGAGGUUUGUAUCGAUUUGAUGAGGGAUGGGGAGGUUUGUAACGCAAACAUUUUGUGGUUUCGGAGAAAAAGAAAGAAGAAAAAAAUUAAUGAAAAAUUAUUAUUGAAAACUGGAAAGCAAUGUUUAUAGAAAGGUUUUGUUUUGUGCAAUUAAAAUAUCAUUGUUUAAACACAAUAGGCUAACUGAUUUCUUAAACGUAAAUAUCUUGUGUCAUGGAUGAGGAAAUUGCUGAUUAAAUGUUUUUGUUUCA